This 497-nucleotide ribosomal RNA is filed under the name uncultured bacterium. RNAcentral's name for it is "partial 16S ribosomal RNA". It matches the Rfam family "Bacterial small subunit ribosomal RNA", at positions 28 to 507 of the family's 1533-position model. The record is from RNAcentral.
GAUGAACGCUGGCGGCGUGCCUAAUACAUGCAAGUCGAGCGAACAGACGAGGAGCUUGCUCCUCUGACGUUAGCGGCGGACGGGUGAGUAACACGUGGAUAACCUACCUAUAAGACUGGGAUAACUUCGGGAAACCGGAGCUAAUACCGGAUAAUAUAUUGAACCGCAUGGUUCAAUAGUGAAAGACGGUUUUGCUGUCACUUAUAGAUGGAUCCGCGCCGCAUUAGCUAGUUGGUAAGGUAACGGCUUACCAAGGCAACGAUGCGUAGCCGACCUGAGAGGGUGAUCGACCACACUGGAACUGAUACAGGGUCCAGACUCCUACGGGAGGCAGCAGUAGAGAAUCUUCCGCGAUGGGCGAAAGCUUGACGGAGCAACGCCACGUGAGUGAUGAAGGUCUUCGGGUCGUAAGACUCUGUUAUUAGGGAAAAACAAAUGUGUAAGUAACUAUGCACGACUUGACGGUACCUAAUCAGAAAGCCACGGCUAACUACGUG